UCGCAGCCGGGACGUUUUCACAAGCGCCAAUUAGUUGUUGAUCAUCGAUCGGAGAAACCACUCCUGGCACUAGCGACAUACAGUUAAUCGCUGACCUAUUUAUAUCAUUUGCGUCGUUUCAGAACCGAAAGAAGAAGGAAAAAAGUUGCAGACUUUGGAAACUGCUGAUGAAUGAAACGCAAUCAAUACGAUGUAUUCUUGACAAGUGGAUCGAUGAUGUAUACAGAGUAGCACUGCCUGGGAAACACCGAACUAGACGAAUAAUCCAUGCGAAACGAACGCCGAAAGUGGUCGACCGGUUCCUCGGCAUCCGGCGGAUGUGGAGGGAACGGGAACCCCGCCGAUCGAUUUUCGUGGGGCGUCUCACGAGGGUCUUUCGAGACGUCUUUCGGGCAGGAUGGUCGGCCGGCCACUGAUCGAGAUGCGUGCAGAAAUUCGUAGAGUCCUACUGAAGAAGAUCGCUGUUGCUUCGUCAAACAAGAUAAUAGUGUUUGCACGGGGACGAGUAUGUAGUACGUGUUUAAACAUGGUAAUAAUGAAUUUAAAUGGAUGUUAACGAAGAACGUCCGAAACUGCCGCGACCUGCAGCUGUACGAUAUAUCUUUCAUCUACAAUGAAGCGCUCGGGAAGAGAGCAUCGUUCAAGAACGCCCGCGCGAUGAUAAUGUGCACCGUUUCCGCCGCAUUGAACUUUAGCUUUUGUACAAAGAAGCGCUGCUAAAAAUGCCGGAUUAUUCUCAAGCCACAUUUAACAUCAAACACAAUGUUCUUUGAAAAUUCUAAAGACUGGAAAAAAUUUGCAGAGACCGAGUAGAAUAAUUCAAUAAUAAACUAUGAGUUUUUCGUUAAAUUAUUAAAUAAGGUUUCUUAUUGUUAAUUUUUGGGAUGUUUAAAUGUAUCUGUUCUUCUCUUUUAACAAAUUAUAAUUCUAUUAUGUGAUAAACUGACAUAAAAGAAAUAUUUUGCAAAAUGUGAUAUGUAUUGUAAAGAUGUGUGACAAGUAAGACAUUUAUAAUAAUA
This is a long non-coding RNA of Camponotus floridanus (Florida carpenter ant), 1019 nucleotides long. RefSeq lists it as uncharacterized. Lineage: Eukaryota; Metazoa; Arthropoda; Insecta; Hymenoptera; Formicidae. The transcript has 3 exons. The record is from RefSeq and is a predicted model, not a curated record.